CCACAGAAAGCUUGAAAUCUACAUAUGGAAAAAAAAUCCUACACUUUAAUUUCCAUGUUUUCAAAAAACAUGCUGGGAAUAAAAUGUUGUUAGAAUUGACAUAAUACCCUUACUUCUACACAUUUAAGAGGAGGGAUAAAAACAGUUACAUCACAAUGGUGAGCCCUCAGAGAGGACAAUUACAGGGUACUGUGAGAGUACAAGAGAUGGCCCUUCCCCUGUGUGCCUGAUAAGCAAGGACUAUAUGAGUGAAGUGAUAAUCUAAGUCUCGGCUAUGUAAAGUAUACACUAGAUGGUGGUCAGGAUGGGGAGUUGUGAGAAAACAGUGUUCCAGGUGGAAGAAUCAGCAUAUGCAAAUUCCAUGGAGCUUGAAGAAACCGAGAAUCAUUGUGGGGUUGUUAAGAUUUCAGCCUGACUAGAAUAUAGCUGUACAGAGUACGGCUGGGAGAUGCUAAUACCACAGCAAAAGGAGAUCACACAGGAAAGACCCUUGUGAGGCCUAAUAGGAAGUCUUCAGUUUGUCAUCAGAGCAAUGAAAAUUGGCCUUCUGUGACUCAUGCCUCAGUUCCUGGUUCAGUCAUGUUCUCUACUAUUUUUCCUUGAAAGAGGAGGACAGUCUUAGAUUUUUCCCAGGUCCUCGAUGAGGAACGUGAGUACUAUAUCCAAACUGUGCAGCAAGUGGAAAAACUGAGACUCACAUUCAAGAUUACUUACAAUUGACUAUGAAAAUAUUCAAGGAUGUAUCAUAUUUUUCAUAUCAGAUUUUGAGAAUUCAUGCAUUAUCAUGAUUUGUCCCACGACAGACAGGAUCUCGUUCUGUCACCCAGGCUGGAGUGCAGUGGUGCCAUCUCAGCUCACUACAACUUCUGCCUCGUGGACUCAAGCAAUUCUCUGACCUCAGCCUCCUGAGUAGCUAGGACUACAGUCUCAUAUCUACUCCGUCUCUACAUAUAUUUAAAAGACAGAUGGCAGGAAUCCAUAGAACAAGAACCUGAGGUGUGCAUCACAAAAGGCUGCCUAUGAAGAAAUCCAGAUAUUAAGCUUAGAUAUCUACAUCGAUAUAUCUUAGCAAUAGCUUUUAGAGCCAUCUCUGAUGUCAUCCUGAUUUAUUAUUCAAUAUUGCCACUUUAGCUUUUUUUAGGCAGAAACUACAAAAUAAGUAGAUACGGUCUCGGGACAAACCCUGAGCAUUAUUUAAGUGGCAUCAAAUGCAAAUUUCAAAGAAGUGAAGCUUGUUAGCUUAUUUCAUGUACUACCCUCCAACACAGGGCUCCUCUGUGUUCCAGCUAUUGAAAAAGUGAGAAAUUUCUUCAUGGUGCAUGAAACAGGCAGAACCCCACUACCCCCCAGAAAUGUCCAAAUCCCUGGAGCCUGUUAGUUUGUUACUUCACGUGGCAAAACAGACUUUGCAAAUGUGAUUAUAAGACAAGAAACUUGAGAAGAGUUCUUGAGAGAAGAAACUUCAGAACAGUUAGAGAGAUACAAUGUUUGACUUCCAAAAAUGGAGGAAGGGGGCCUCUGGCCAAGGAAUGUCCUCUAGAAGCUGAAACAUACAAGUGAAUGGAUUAUCUCCUAGAGUCUCUAGUAAGGAAUAUAGCCCUGACCACAUCUUGAUUUUAGACCAUUGAGACCUCUGUUGGAAUUCCAGGUGACUGUAAGGCAAUAAAAUUGUGUUGUUUCAAUCUACUUAAAUUUACAGUAAUUUGUUACAGCAGCAACAGUAAACUAAUAUAGUGUAAAACCGUCCUGAGCGGUCAGAUAAUUGGCAUCUUUGCCCCUUUACAUCUAUCCCAGAAAUAUACUCCUUGGUUACUGCCACAACUGACAAGUCCCUCCAGGUUUCCAAGUGCCCUCAGGUAGUAGAGUACUAGGCCUGGCUGGAAACCACUGCAUGAAUGGACAGUGACUUGCAAUAAAAAUUGAUAAUGAUAUGAUUAAAUUCAAAGAUAAAAAUUAAAAUAUUUUGAUAAACCUUAUAAACCUUUAAUUCAUUUCUAGGCUUUAUUUCCUAUCAUCAAUAAAACUUCUGCGUCAAAACCAUUUCACACUAUAUUGUUUAUAUCUUUCAGUGAAAUCUGUGGCAAGCAAUUUUAUUUUCAACUUCCAGGACAAUACAAACCCAUUUAUCAAGGCAGCCAUUAAGAAACCAUUGCUAGAAGGGAAUCCAAUGGAGGCCCAAAGGAAGGAGAGGUGUAUUUUGACCCUAAAGAAAUAUGAACACUAUUUUAAAACUAUUUAAAAACAAAUGUAGCAUGAUUAACAUUAAAAGCCCAGACAAUUUUGAAUUGUGUUGAUUCUUAAUUCCAUAUACAAAAUAAAUAAAUAAAAGAUUCAUUUUAUUCUCCUAAGUAGUUGAUCAGACAGUAAUACUUUGCUAUUUUAAAAUGCUAUAACUAAUAUUUUUAAAUAUUAAAUUAUAUAUCAUUUGUAUCUUACAAACAUAACCCAUGUUAAUCACAGUUGUAUAGUUUUUCAAACAGCAAGACUUCAAGCAAGCUCUAAUAAGCAACAUCAAAUUUCAAAUAACAGUGAGUAUUAACCAUUCAGUUAAAAAAAUAUGAGCCAAGAAUGCUGGAGUGAACACAUGAAUUGUUUCUUGUUUUCUCCUUAAAAUAUGUAUCUUAUAAACCAGUAUGAAAGUGAAAGUUUAAAAAUUACUCAUAUUUUCCUGAUGUUAAAUAUGACAGAUUUUGACAUGUAUUUAGAGUUUCAAAUUUUCAAAAAUUUUAAAAUUUAACUUUUAAUUAAAUUUAUGUAGUUUUUGGCAGUUUUCUUAGUUUACUAAAGUUUCAAGAAUUCUGGAUACCCUCCAGUAAACUAAGCAGAAAAAAAUUAAAAUGUUGUUACCUGCUUUGUUUCAAACCUUGAUAUAAACAAAAUACUUUAUGUGAUAAACUAUUACAUAUUUAUUAUUUUAACUAUAAGUAAUAAAUACAUCAUCUCCUAAAAAUACAUAUGCUUCUCACUCUUCAUAGGAAUAGGCAACACGUUCUAUUUUCUAAGUAAUUUAUUCUCUAUUAAUCAGAUAGAAAUAAAGAUAACCUUAUAACCACUUUGUCCUAAAAAUACAUAGCGCUUGAUCUAUACUUUGAAAUAUUCUUAAUCAGCUUCAGGCAAUAAAUAACUCAGGAAACUAGCA
Long non-coding RNA from Papio anubis (olive baboon), 3139 nucleotides. Lineage: Eukaryota; Metazoa; Chordata; Mammalia; Primates; Cercopithecidae. The record is from Ensembl.